This 24-nucleotide non-coding RNA is filed under the name Arabidopsis thaliana (thale cress). The record is from RNAcentral. Lineage: Eukaryota; Viridiplantae; Streptophyta; Magnoliopsida; Brassicales; Brassicaceae.
ACUACACGUGCAUAUUGGUUUGUG